UAAUACGUAGGGGGCGAGCGUUGUCCGGAUUCAUUGGGCGUAAAGCGCUCGCAGGCGGUCGGCCGCGUCGUGCGUGAAGGCCCUCGGCUCAACCGAGGGUGGUCGCAGGAAACGGGUCGGCUUGAGGUAGGUAGGGGGACGCGGAAUUCCCGGUGUAGUGGUGGAAUGCGUAGAGAUCGGGAGGAACACCGGCGGCGAAGGCGGCGUCCUGGACCUGGCCUGACGCUCAGGAGCGAAAGCGUGGGGAGCGAUCCGGAUUAGAUACCCGGGUAGUCCACGCCGUAAACGAUGCGGACUAGGUGUCGGGGGUAUCGACCCCCUCGGUGCCGCAGCCAACGCGAUAAGUCCGCCGCCUGGGGAGUACGGCCGCAAGGCUA
Molecule: ribosomal RNA, 377 nt
Filed under: uncultured bacterium
Lineage: Bacteria
Description: bacterial SSU rRNA
Rfam family: Bacterial small subunit ribosomal RNA
Source: RNAcentral